GUCCUUUUGAUAUUAAUUUAAGGUCUAAUCUGCUCAAUGAGAAUUUAAAUAGCCGCAGUAUUUUGACUGUGCAAAGGUAGCGUGAUAAUUAGUUUUUUAAUUGAAAACUUGUAUGAAUGAUUUGACGAGAAAAUUUCUGUCUCUAUUUAAUUUUUUAUGAAUUUAAUUUUUAAGUUAAAAAGCUUAAAUAACUAUAAAAGACGAGAAGACCCCAUAGAGUUUUAUUUUUUCUUUUUAUUUAGAAUUAUUUUAAUUUGAGAAAAAUUAGUUGGGGUGACUAAAAAAUUUAAUUAACUUUUUUAAUUUAAAUCAUUGAUUUAUGAAUAAAAAAUCUAGUUUUUCUAAUUUUAAAUAAAGUUACCUUGGGGAUAACAGAGUAAUUUCUUUUAGAGUUCUUAUCAAAAAAGAAGAUUGCUACCUCGAUGUUGGAUUAAAAUUUAAUUUAGGUGUAGAAGCUUAAAUUUUAAGUCUGUUCGACUUUUAAAAUUUUACA
RNAcentral lists this ribosomal RNA (493 nucleotides) under Pyractomena dispersa. RNAcentral's name for it is "partial 16S ribosomal RNA". It matches the Rfam family "Bacterial large subunit ribosomal RNA", at positions 1829 to 2600 of the family's 2925-position model. Lineage: Eukaryota; Metazoa; Arthropoda; Insecta; Coleoptera; Lampyridae. The record is from RNAcentral.